RNAcentral lists this unclassified non-coding RNA (373 nucleotides) under soil metagenome. RNAcentral's name for it is "partial contains 5.8S ribosomal RNA, internal transcribed spacer 2, and large subunit ribosomal RNA". The stretch from base 1 to 120 matches the Rfam family "5.8S ribosomal RNA", at positions 35 to 154 of the family's 154-position model. The record is from RNAcentral.
GAUGAAGAACGUAGCGAAAUGCGAUAAGUAAUGUGAAUUGCAGAAUUCAGUGAAUCAUCGAAUCUUUGAACGCACAUUGCGCCCGCCAGUAUUCUGGCGGGCAUGCCUGUUCGAGCGUCAUUACAACCCUCAAGCCCCCCGGCUUGGUGUUGGGGACCGGCCACCGGUGCCCUGCUGCUUCCGCGGCAGGCGCACCCGGCCGCCCCCGAAAUGAAUUGGCGGCCCCGUCGCGGCCUCCCCCUGCGUAGUAGCACACAUCUCGCAGCUGGAGCGCGGCGCGGCCACUGCCGUAAAACGCACCAACUUUUUUUACAGUUGACCUCGAAUCAGGUAGGAAUACCCGCUGAACUUAAGCAUAUCAAUAAGCGGAGGA